CCUACGGGAGGCAGCAGUGGGGAAUAUUGGGCAAUGGAGGAAACUCUGACCCAGCGACGCCGCGUGAGGGAUGAAGGCCUUCGGGUUGUAAACCUCUUUCAGUAGGGAAGAAGCGAAAGUGACGGUACCUACAGAAGAAGCACCGGCUAACUAUGUGCCAGCAGCCGCGGUAAU
Molecule: ribosomal RNA, 174 nt
Filed under: uncultured bacterium
Lineage: Bacteria
Description: partial 16S ribosomal RNA
Rfam family: Bacterial small subunit ribosomal RNA
Source: RNAcentral